MicroRNA precursor from Oryza sativa Indica Group (long-grained rice), 205 nucleotides. It matches the Rfam family "MIR812 microRNA precursor family". The record is from Rfam. Lineage: Eukaryota; Viridiplantae; Streptophyta; Magnoliopsida; Poales; Poaceae.
AAUAAGUGUAGCUAUGAUUUUUCGUGUCUAAUUUUGACCUUUCGUCUUAUUUGAAAAUUUUUUGAAAAAAAUUAAAAAUAUAAGUCACGAGUAAAGUACUAUUUAUAUUUUAUCAUCUCAUAACAAUAAAAAUGCUAAUUAUAAAAAAAUUUCAAAUAAUACGGACGAUCAAAGUUGGGCGUGGAAACUCAUGGCUACACUUAUU